GACGAACGCGCAUUGAAAGUUUUCUUCGGCGCAUGUAAAAUUUCAUUUCACGGCGGAACGUGACUUGGUGCAGGAAUUGCAUCGUAUGAGAACAACGCAGCUUUCUCUUUAGAAAAACAAUCUCUUAAAUCACGAGAUAGAAAAUCUUCGUGAUCAGUCAUGCUCUAAAUGCAGACAUCGUCGCGCAUAUAAGUUCUUCGUCUUCUCAAUUCGAAAAUUCAGUUAAUCAAUAAUUUUGAUCUUCUAUCAAUAUGAGAUUAGUGUGUACUCUUCUUAUACUCGGUCUGCUGACGAUAAUGUUUACAACUAAUUGCGACAACUCAUUCUAUCACGAGACUAUAAAAACAG
Long non-coding RNA from Pseudomyrmex gracilis, 348 nucleotides. RefSeq lists it as uncharacterized. NCBI's taxonomy places the organism in Eukaryota, Metazoa, Arthropoda, Insecta, Hymenoptera, Formicidae. The transcript is spliced from 3 exons. The record is from RefSeq and is a predicted model, not a curated record.